UGGGGAAUAUUGGACAAUGGAGGAAACUCUGAUCCAGCAAUUCUGUGUGUGUGAAGAAGGUUUUAGGACUGUAAAACACUUUUAGUAGGGAAGAAAAAAAUGACGGUACCUACAGAAGAAGCAACGGCUAAAUACGUGCCAGCAGCCGCGGUAAUACGUAUGUUGCGAGCGUUAUCCGGAAUUAUUGGGCUUAAAGGGCAUCUAGGCGGUAAGACAAGUUGAAGGUGAAAACCUGUGGCUCAACCAUAGGCUUGCCUACAAAACUGUUGAACUAGAGUACUGGAAAGGUGGAUGGAACUACACGAGUAGAGGUGAAAUUCGUAGAUAUGUGUAGGAAUGCCGAUGAUGAAGAUAACUCACUGGACAGAAACUGACGCUGAAGUGCGAAAGCUAGGGGAGCAAACAGG
RNAcentral lists this ribosomal RNA (407 nucleotides) under Verrucomicrobiota bacterium. RNAcentral's name for it is "Verrucomicrobia bacterium partial 16S ribosomal RNA". It matches the Rfam family "Bacterial small subunit ribosomal RNA", at positions 355 to 776 of the family's 1533-position model. Lineage: Bacteria; Pseudomonadati; Verrucomicrobiota. The record is from RNAcentral.